GACGAACGCUGGCGGCGUGCCUAACACAUGCAAGUCGAACGGAGUGGCAGAGACAGAUUCCUUCGGGAUGAAGAUUUUGUUUACUUAGUGGCGGACGGGUGAGUAACGCGUGAGCAACCUGCCUUACAGAGGGGGACAACAUUGGGAAACCGAUGCUAAUACCGCAUAACAUAUAUUUGUGGCAUCACAGAUAUAUCAAAGGAGCAAUCCGCUGUAAGAUGGGCUCGCGUCUGAUUAGAUAGUUGGUGAGGUAACGGCUCACCAAGUCGACGAUCAGUAGCCGGACUGAGAGGUCGAACGGCCACAUUGGGACUGAGACA
RNAcentral lists this ribosomal RNA (320 nucleotides) under uncultured bacterium. RNAcentral's name for it is "bacterial SSU rRNA". It matches the Rfam family "Bacterial small subunit ribosomal RNA", at positions 28 to 326 of the family's 1533-position model. The record is from RNAcentral.